RNAcentral lists this transfer RNA (74 nucleotides) under Amoebidium parasiticum. RNAcentral describes it as "tRNA-Arg". It matches the Rfam family "tRNA". Rfam says of the family: Transfer RNA (tRNA) molecules are approximately 80 nucleotides in length. The record is from RNAcentral. Lineage: Eukaryota; Ichthyosporea; Ichthyophonida; Amoebidiaceae.
GUUGAUAUAGCUCAAUAGGAUAGAGCCGUACACUUCUAAUGUACUGGUUGUAGGUUCAAGUCCUGCUAUCAACU